RNAcentral lists this ribosomal RNA (1361 nucleotides) under Aeromonas jandaei. RNAcentral's name for it is "partial 23S ribosomal RNA". It matches the Rfam family "Bacterial large subunit ribosomal RNA", at positions 126 to 1545 of the family's 2925-position model. The record is from RNAcentral. Lineage: Bacteria; Pseudomonadati; Pseudomonadota; Gammaproteobacteria; Aeromonadales; Aeromonadaceae.
ACCCACCCAAGAUAACUUGGGUAUCGUUACAUGAAUACAUAGUGUAACGAGGCGAACCGGGAGAACUGAAACAUCUAAGUACCCCGAGGAAAAGAAAUCAACCGAGAUUCCCUCAGUAGCGGCGAGCGAACGGGGAUUAGCCCUUAAGCAUCUUGGAAGUUAGUGGAACGGUCCUGGAAAGGCCGGCGAUACAGGGUGAUAGCCCCGUACACGAAAACAACCUUGAUGUGAAAUCGAGUAGGGCGGGACACGUGACAUCCUGUCUGAAUAUGGGGGGACCAUCCUCCAAGGCUAAAUACUCCUGACUGACCGAUAGUGAACCAGUACCGUGAGGGAAAGGCGAAAAGAACCCCUGUGAGGGGAGUGAAAUAGAACCUGAAACCGUGUACGUACAAGCAGUGGGAGCCCUUCGGGGUGACUGCGUACCUUUUGUAUAAUGGGUCAGCGACUUACAUUUUGUAGCGAGGUUAACCGUAUAGGGGAGCCGUAGGGAAACCGAGUCUUAACUGGGCGUCUAGUUGCAAGGUGUAGACCCGAAACCGGGUGAUCUAGCCAUGGGCAGGUUGAAGGUUGAGUAACAUCAACUGGAGGACCGAACCCACUAACGUUGCAAAGUUAGGGGAUGACCUGUGGCUGGGGGUGAAAGGCCAAUCAAACUCGGAGAUAGCUGGUUCUCCCCGAAAGCUAUUUAGGUAGCGCCUCGGACGAAUACUACUGGGGGUAGAGCACUGUUUGGGCUAGGGGGUCAUCCCGACUUACCAACCCCAUGCAAACUCCGAAUACCAGUAAGUACUAUCCGGGAGACACACGGCGGGUGCUAACGUCCGUCGUGAAGAGGGAAACAACCCAGACCGCCGGCUAAGGUCCCAAAGUUCUGGUUAAGUGGGAAACGAUGUGGGAAGGCUCAGACAGCUAGGAUGUUGGCUUAGAAGCAGCCAUCAUUUAAAGAAAGCGUAAUAGCUCACUAGUCGAGUCGGCCUGCGCGGAAGAUGUAACGGGGCUCAAACCAGGCACCGAAGCCGCGGAUUCACACUUAUGUGUGAGUGGUAGGGGAGCGUUCUGUAAGUCUGCGAAGGUGUAUCGAGAGGUAUGCUGGAGAUAUCAGAAGUGCGAAUGCUGACGUAAGUAACGAUAAAGGGGGUGAAAAGCCUCCUCGCCGGAAGACCAAGGGUUCCUGUCCAACGUUAAUCGGGGCAGGGUGAGUCGACCCCUAAGGUGAGGCCGAAAGGCGUAAUCGAUGGGAAGCAGGUUAAUAUUCCUGCACGACUUGUAAUUGCGAUGGGGGGACGGAGAAGGCUAGGUGGGCCAGGCGACGGUUGUCCUGGUGAAAGUGCGUAGGCGGUACCUUUAGGUAAAUCCGG